AACGAACGCUGGCGGCAGGCCUAACACAUGCAAGUCGAGCGGACCCUUCGGGGUUAGCGGCGGACGGGGGAGUAACGCGUGGGAAUAUGCCCUUCUCUACGGAAUAGUCCUGGGAAACUGGGGUUAAUACCGUAUACGCCCUUUGGGGGAAAGAUUUAUCGGGGAAGGAUUAGCCCGCGUUGGAUUAGGUAGUUGGGGGGGUAAUGGCCUACCAAGCCGACGAUCCAUAGCUGGUUUGAGAGGAUGCUCAGCCACACUGGGACUGAGACACGGCCCAGACUCCUACGGGAAGCAGCAGUGGGGAAUCUUAGACAAUGGGGGCAACCCUGAUCUAGCCAUGCCGCGUGAGUGAUGAAGGCCUUAGGGUUGUAAAGCUCUUUCAGCUGGGAAAAUAAUGACGGUACCAGCAGAAGAAGCCCCGGCUAACUACGUG
RNAcentral lists this ribosomal RNA (433 nucleotides) under uncultured bacterium. Its description in RNAcentral is "partial 16S ribosomal RNA". It matches the Rfam family "Bacterial small subunit ribosomal RNA", at positions 29 to 507 of the family's 1533-position model. The record is from RNAcentral.